UUACGCUGUUAUCCCUAAGGUAAUUUAUUUUAAAAUUCUAAAUUUUAGGAUUUUUAAAUCAUUAAUUUAUGUUUUUAUAUUAAAAGUUUAAAUAAUUUUAAAAUUACCCCAAUUAAAUAAUAUUUUAUUUUUUUAAAUAUUUUAUUAUAAAAUUCUAUAGGGUCUUAUCGUCUAUUAAUUAAAUUUAAGAAUUUUUACUUAAAAUUUAAUUUUAAAUUUUAAUUAUUUUUAUAUAGUUUAUAUUUCAUUAAAUCAUUCAUUCUAGUUUUUAAUUAAAAAACUAUUUAUUAUGCUACCUUUGUACAGUUAUUGAUACUGCAGCCAUUAAAUUUUCAUGGGGCAGAUUUGACUUAAAAUUAUUUUCUAUAAGACAUGUUUUUGUUAAACAGGCG
RNAcentral lists this ribosomal RNA (392 nucleotides) under Ephedrus laevicollis. Its description in RNAcentral is "partial 16S ribosomal RNA". The record is from RNAcentral. Lineage: Eukaryota; Metazoa; Arthropoda; Insecta; Hymenoptera; Braconidae.